This 376-nucleotide ribosomal RNA is filed under the name uncultured organism. Its description in RNAcentral is "partial 16S ribosomal RNA". It matches the Rfam family "Bacterial small subunit ribosomal RNA", at positions 527 to 896 of the family's 1533-position model. The record is from RNAcentral.
GUAGGGGGCGAGCGUUGUCCGGGAUUUAUUGGGGCGUAAAGAGCUCGUAGGCGGUUGCGUAAGUCGGAUGUGAAAACUCAGGGGCUCAACCCUGAGAUGCCAUUCGAUACUGCGCUGACUCGAGUCCGGUAGGGGAGCAUGGAAUUCCUGGUGUAGCGGUGAAAUGCGCAGAUAUCAGGAGGAACACCAGUGGCGAAGGCGGUGCUCUGGGCCGGUACUGACGCUGAGGAGCGAAAGCAUGGGUAGCAAACAGGAUUAGAUACCCUGGUAGUCCAUGCCGUAAACGUUGGGCACUAGGUGUGGGGCCUACUUAACGGGUUCCGUGCCGUAGCUAACGCAUUAAGUGCCCCGCCUGGGGAGUACGGCCGCAAGGCUA